This 373-nucleotide ribosomal RNA is filed under the name uncultured organism. RNAcentral's name for it is "partial 16S ribosomal RNA". It matches the Rfam family "Bacterial small subunit ribosomal RNA", at positions 527 to 896 of the family's 1533-position model. The record is from RNAcentral.
GUAGGUGGCAAGCGUUGUCCGGAAUUAUUGGGCGUAAAGCGCGCGCAGGCGGUUCUUUAAGUCUGAUGUGAAAGCCCACGGCUCAACCGUGGAGGGUCAUUGGAAACUGGAGAACUUGAGUACAGAAGAGGAAAGCGGAAUUCCACGUGUAGCGGUGAAAUGCGAAGAGAUGUGGAGGAACACCAGUGGCGAAGGCGGCUUUCUGGUCUGUAACUGACGCUGAGGCGCGAAAGCGUGGGGAGCAAACAGGGAUUAGAUACCCUGGUAGUCCACGCCGUAAACGAUGAGUGCUAAGUGUUAGGGGGGUUUCCGCCCCCUUAGUGCUGCAGCUAACGCAUUAAGCACUCCGCCUGGGGAUACGGCCGCAAGGCUG